RNAcentral lists this ribosomal RNA (1356 nucleotides) under 'Cocos nucifera' lethal wilt phytoplasma. RNAcentral describes it as "bacterial SSU rRNA". It matches the Rfam family "Bacterial small subunit ribosomal RNA", at positions 83 to 1439 of the family's 1533-position model. The record is from RNAcentral. Lineage: Bacteria; Bacillati; Mycoplasmatota; Mollicutes; Acholeplasmatales; Acholeplasmataceae.
AAUUAAACUUUAGUGGCGAACGGGUGAGUAACGCGUAAGCAAUCUGCCCCUAAGACGAGGAUAACAGUUGGAAACGACUGCUAAGACUGGAUAGGAGACAAGAAGGCAUCUUCUUGUUUUUAAAAGACCUAGCAAUAGGUAUGCUUAGGGAGGAGCUUGCGUCACAUUAGUUAGUUGGUGGGGUAAAGGCCUACCAAGACUAUGAUGUGUAGCCGGGCUGAGAGGUUGAACGGCCACAUUGGGACUGAGACACGGCCCAAACUCCUACGGGAGGCAGCAGUAGGGAAUUUUCGGCAAUGGAGGAAACUCUGACCGAGCAACGCCGCGUGAACGAUGAAGUAUUUCGGUACGUAAAGUUCUUUUAUUAGGGAAGAAUAAAUGAUGGAAAAAUCAUUCUGACGGUACCUAAUGAAUAAGCCCCGGCUAACUAUGUGCCAGCAGCCGCGGUAAUACAUAGGGGGCAAGCGUUAUCCGGAAUUAUUGGGCGUAAAGGGUGCGUAGGCGGUUAAAUAAGUUUAUGGUCUAAGUGCAAUGCUCAACAUUGUGAUGCUAUAAAAACUGUUUAGCUAGAGUAAGAUAGAGGCAAGUGGAAUUCCAUGUGUAGUGGUAAAAUGCGUAAAUAUAUGGAGGAACACCAGUAGCGAAGGCGGCUUGCUGGGUCUUUACUGACGCUGAGGCACGAAAGCGUGGGGAGCAAACAGGAUUAGAUACCCUGGUAGUCCACGCCGUAAACGAUGAGUACUAAACGUUGGGUAAAACCAGUGUUGAAGUUAACACAUUAAGUACUCCGCCUGAGUAGUACGUACGCAAGUAUGAAACUUAAAGGAAUUGACGGGACUCCGCACAAGCGGUGGAUCAUGUUGUUUAAUUCGAAGGUACCCGAAAAACCUCACCAGGUCUUGACAUGCUUCUGCAAAGCUGUAGAAACACAGUGGAGGUUAUCAGUUGCACAGGUGGUGCAUGGUUGUCGUCAGCUCGUGUCGUGAGAUGUUGGGUUAAGUCCCGCAACGAGCGCAACCCUUAUUGUUAGUUACCAGCACGUAAUGGUGGGGACUUUAGCAAGACUGCCAGUGAUAAAUUGGAGGAAGGUGGGGAUGACGUCAAAUCAUCAUGCCCCUUAUGACCUGGGCUACAAACGUGAUACAAUGGCUGUUACAAAGGGUAGCUGAAGCGCAAGUUUUUGGCGAAUCUCAAAAAAACAGUCUCAGUUCGGAUUGAAGUCUGCAACUCGACUUCAUGAAGUUGGAAUCGCUAGUAAUCGCGAAUCAGCAUGUCGCGGUGAAUACGUUCUCGGGGUUUGUACACACCGCCCGUCAAACCACGAAAGUUGGCAAUACCCAAAGCCGGUGGCCUAAC